AGCAGUAGCCGCGGUAAUACGAAGGGUGCAAGCGUUAAUCGGAAUUACUGGGCGUAAAGCGUGCGUAGGCGGUGAGUUAAGUCUGUUGUGAAAUCCCCGGGCUCAACCUGGGAAUGGCAGUGGAUACUGGCUCGCUAGAGUGUGUCAGAGGAUGGUGGAAUUCCCGGUGUAGCGGUGAAAUGCGUAGAGAUCGGGAGGAACAUCAGUGGCGAAGGCGGCCAUCUGGGACAACACUGACGCUGAGGCACGAAAGCGUGGGGAGCAAACAGGAUUAGAUACCCCGGUAGUCCCUGUCUCUUAUAC
Molecule: ribosomal RNA, 303 nt
Filed under: uncultured bacterium
Lineage: Bacteria
Description: partial 16S ribosomal RNA
Rfam family: Bacterial small subunit ribosomal RNA
Source: RNAcentral